RNAcentral lists this ribosomal RNA (685 nucleotides) under uncultured bacterium. Its description in RNAcentral is "bacterial SSU rRNA". It matches the Rfam family "Bacterial small subunit ribosomal RNA", at positions 155 to 859 of the family's 1533-position model. The record is from RNAcentral.
ACGCGGAGCUAAUACCGCAUAUGUUCGCUCAUUCGGUUGGGCGAGUAAAGCAGCGAUGCGCUUAGGGAUGGGCCUGCGGCGGAUUAGGUAGUUGGUGGGGUAACGGCCUACCAAGCCGAUGAUCCGUAGGGGGCGUGAGAGCGUGGCCCCCCACACUGGCACUGAGACACGGGCCAGACUCCUACGGGAGGCAGCAGUGAGGAAUAUUGCACAAUGGGCGCAAGCCUGAUGCAGCAACGCCGCGUGAGGGACGAAGGCCUUCGGGUUGUAAACCUCUUUUCUGAGGGACGAGGAAGGACGGUACCUCAGGAAUAAGUCUCGGCUAACUACGUGCCAGCAGCCGCGGUAAAACGUAGGAGGCGAGCGUUAUCCGGAUUUACUGGGCGUAAAGCGCACGCAGGCGGCUCCGUGAGUCGGACGUGAAAGCUCUCGGCUUAACCGGGAGAGGCCGUUCGAUACUGCGGGGCUUGAGGUAGGGAGAGGAAUGCGGAAUUCCCGGUGUAGUGGUGGAAUGCGUAGAUAUCGGGAGGAACACCUGUGGCGAAAGCGGCAUUCUGGCCCUCACCUGACGCUGAGGUGCGAAAGCGUGGGUAGCAAACAGGAUUAGAUACCCUGGUAGUCCACGCCGUAAACGAUGUCAACUGGGUGUCGGUAGUUUUACACUAGCGGUGCCGAAGCUAACGCG